Molecule: non-coding RNA, 174 nt
Filed under: Clostridiaceae bacterium
Lineage: Bacteria; Bacillati; Bacillota; Clostridia; Eubacteriales; Clostridiaceae
Description: 6S RNA
Rfam family: 6S / SsrS RNA
About the family: E. coli 6S RNA was the first non coding RNA to be sequenced, but its function was unknown until recently. It consists of 184 nucleotides that fold into an extended hairpin structure with a large single-stranded internal bulge.
Source: RNAcentral
AAAGUCCUGCUAUGUUUGAGAAAUGAGAUAAUUUUGACCCAACAUUUUAAACUUCGGGAAUCCUACUCUUUUCGCGAAAUGAUACCUUUUUUUAGGAACAAGAAACGAAAAGGUGAUGCCCACCUGCGAAAGCAGGAUCAAAAAUACCUCGUGAGACGGCACAGCGGGUUUUCU